UCUGUUCACAUGGCAGCAUGUGUGAGCGGAUGCUCCCGGAGCAGGUGGAGUGGUGGCACUGGAUAGCGGUGUACACUUAAAGCGUUCUGGGAAUAUGAAUCCCUUCUGCACCCUGGAAUCACCAGUCCAGCCAUGCAUGGAGCUGGGGAAAGCAGGCCCUGAAUUGUCUAGAGAGACUUGGUGGAGGAGGCCACGGCCCGCCUUGUCCCUGCCGGGUCCCAGCCAGGGCCCUGUGCUAAUCACGAGUCUUUCCUGUUCAGAGCAGUGAGGCCUGAGACCCUCAACAGUGCUGUGUGUACAGAAGGCCCCCAGAAUCCACACAAAGGGGCCGCCUGAAACCUAGAGCAUUUGUGAAGGAGGAAAAUGGAAGGAACAACUGGAUGUUGUAAAUGUUUCUCAUCUGGCCUUAAAAUCCAUGAAAGCUGGAAAAUCACAAGGCAUCUGUGCACAUACUGGUGGAUUUUAAUGAGAGUCCUGUGUUUGGAGCACCAGAAAUAAACCAGCUUCAGAAGCAAAGGAGGAGGAAGCAGAGCUAGAGAUGGAAGGAGACCCAGCCAGCCCGGGCUCCAGUGACAUCGGCUGGUACACGCUUUUGUUUGCUUACGCUUGUUGAACUGAGUUUUUCAUAUGUAACUAACGAAUAGUGGCACAUGUGAGACUGGGCAUGAUUCAGAAAAGUUGGAAGAUCUAGAGAGGGAUCUUGCAAUCUGAAGUUUCUUGUUUAGUCACUGGAGGAUCUGAACGUCUAUGACACUCUUUCGAGCUGACACAGUGAAGAACAUGGAAGGAGAACUCACCCAGUCUGCCAGGGUCACAGAUGAUCAUACUCAAGAUCUUCCUGGGGAGUCAAUGGCAAAUUUCACUGGGCUAUUUUACAGAUGAAGAAGGAACAUAAAGAAGGUUCUGGGACCCU
RNAcentral lists this long non-coding RNA (913 nucleotides) under Pan troglodytes (chimpanzee). Its description in RNAcentral is "lincRNA". The record is from RNAcentral. Lineage: Eukaryota; Metazoa; Chordata; Mammalia; Primates; Hominidae.